Molecule: long non-coding RNA, 442 nt
Organism: Oncorhynchus tshawytscha (Chinook salmon)
Lineage: Eukaryota; Metazoa; Chordata; Actinopteri; Salmoniformes; Salmonidae
Source: Ensembl
UCUCACAAAGAGCAGCAGACUCCUGAUGAAAGCAGGCUCAGUGGCUCUAAGCUUUUUCAUGUGGCGGUUUCUACUUCCCACUGAGAAGUGACAAAAGCAGCAAUCCCCCUACUCUCUACAAAAACUCUCUACUGUUGCCUCCAAGAAGAUUGCUGUGGAGGCAUUCCAUCAUCAUUUCAAGGUACUGUGAGGUUUACCAUUUCCAGAACUGACAGUCAGACUUGCAUGUCACUCAAAUGUUCCUCAUACGCCAGAAGUAGUUCUGUGGCAAUUGGUUAGGGCUGUGAGUACAUGUGAGGGGCUUUCUCAAGUAGUCUUUCUAGGUUGUCCUCUUUGUCUGGCCCCACACUGAGAUGAACAAGGUGGUUAGAAAGGGUGGUCAGCUAAACACCCCACUUGUUCAUUUUUUGGUUUAUUUGUCAGGGACCAUGUAUGUGCAAAA